Molecule: ribosomal RNA, 393 nt
Filed under: uncultured bacterium
Lineage: Bacteria
Description: bacterial SSU rRNA
Rfam family: Bacterial small subunit ribosomal RNA
Source: RNAcentral
AUUGAACGCUGGCGGCAUGCCUUACACAUGCAAGUCGAACGGCAGCACGGGAGCAAUCCUGGUGGCGAGUGGCGAACGGGUGAGUAAUAUAUCGGAACGUGCCCGGUCGUGGGGGAUAACGUAGCGAAAGCUACGCUAAUACCGCAUACGAUCUACGGAUGAAAGCGGGGGAUCGCAAGACCUCGCGCGAUUGGAGCGGCCGAUAUCAGAUUAGGUAGUUGGUGAGGUAAAGGCUCACCAAGCCGACGAUCUGUAGCUGGUCUGAGAGGACGACCAGCCACACUGGGACUGAGACACGGCCCAGACUCCUACGGGAGGCAGCAGUGGGAAUUUGGACAAUGGGCGCAAGCCUGAUCCAGCAAUGCCGCGUGCAGGAUGAAGGCUCGGUGUAAC